RNAcentral lists this long non-coding RNA (213 nucleotides) under Capsella rubella. Its description in RNAcentral is "long non-coding RNA (CRUB_LNC004364)". Lineage: Eukaryota; Viridiplantae; Streptophyta; Magnoliopsida; Brassicales; Brassicaceae. The record is from RNAcentral.
UGGACAUAAAUACUUAGUACUUGUCACUCGUACAUGUUACUUAAUAUUUGCUUCUAGAGAAAAAACAAAAUCGGUCGUUAUCAAGGCAGUAACAUAAGUUAGACAUUCACAAGUAUGUAUUUAAAGUAAUCUUGAAGUGCAAAGCAAAGUGAUACAAAUAGCAAAUAUAUCAUAAAAAGCAUAUAUAUUGCCUUGUGUCCACACCCCUAAAUA